This 2881-nucleotide long non-coding RNA is filed under the name Mus musculus (house mouse). RNAcentral describes it as "long non-coding RNA chr2:144584518-144587399". The record is from RNAcentral. Lineage: Eukaryota; Metazoa; Chordata; Mammalia; Rodentia; Muridae.
GCUCAGGACACAGCUUGCAGGCUAGGGAAAGGAUCAGGUCUGCAGAGAGAAGGACAGCGAUGACCUGAUGGCAGGGCAGGCUGACUCUGGCUAACUCUAAAAUGUCUAUGAAGAUGAGCCUCGAGAAGUAGAAGCAUCCUAAGGUUCCAAAUAUUAAAUUAAGGUUCUUAGUAAUAAUCGUGACAGCCACUCCCAUUUGCAGAAUAAGCACUUGAGAAUAAACCUAAUUCUGUAGUUUACAGGUAAGGAAACUGAGGCACCAAAAGUGUGCAGCUUUCCCAGAAUCACCUCCACUGCUGACUGGCUGAGGAGGACUCUGACCUAGCUCUCUGGCUCCUGACUGCUUUCUUAGAAUGCUCUGUAGACGAAAAGCCUUCACAGCUGCUGCCUUCCAGACUGUGCUCCUUCAUGUGGGAGCUCUUAAAAACCAAACCAAAAACAAACAAAAGAAUUUUAGCUGGAGGCUGGACAAAUGGCUCAUACAUACAACGGUUGCUGCUCUUUCAAGGACCUAAACUGGGUUCCCAGCACCUAUAUUUAGUGGCUCAAAACCACUUGUAGCUUUAGCUCUAAGACCUAACAUCUUAUUGUAGCCUAAUUGUGUGCCCAUAUAUGACAUACAAUGACAUAGGCACACACACACACACACACACACACACACACACACACACACACUCAACUCUCUAGGGCACAGAAAUCAGCAUUUGAAUAAUACAAAGACAUUCUUACAAAGUGCACAAUAAUAUUAUCCUAGUACUGAGCCAAAUGUGGUGACACACACUUCAUUCCAGCACUUGGAGGGCUGAGGCAGGAGGGUCUCAGAUUUGAGGCCAGACACACAACAUUGUUAUGCCACAAGACGAGUAAAAGCCACCUUGAAUUGUGUGUCCAGUAGAAGGCACUCUCUAUUUCCCUCUUCUGCCAGCUCUGCUGCACCUCUUUGUUUCUCUGUGAACGCACACAUCUUUUUCUGUGUUCAGGCUCAUGUUUUAGAGAUGCAGAGUAGAGCUGAAGAGUCCUGCGUGUCCAGCAUCACAGAUGUAUUCAUCUGACUCACUCCUUUGCUUUUGUAAAUGCAGUUCAUGUUCCAUCUGAGAAGAUCUCCAUUUCUUCAAGUAUUUAACAACAGUCCUGAUGAGUCCUCCUAUUAUAGACACCAUUUUGCCCGGCAGGAUCUGACUCAGUCCCUCAUUAUGAUCCAGCCCAUUCUCUAUUCUUACUCCUUCCACGGACCACCAGAGGUAAGGCCGAACGGACAUACGCGCUUUCCUCAGAAUGCCAUGACUGAAUCACGAGGGGUUUUGGUUUUGUAAUUUUCCUUCAUCAAAUACAGUCUUAGGGCAGAACAGUAAACAAAAUGUUGAGUUUAUAGUAACUUUGUGUUGUUUUUGAGUAUUUAAAAAAAAUAGGAAAAGUUAAAAGAUAAAGCUUUUUGUAUGGGUGUGUGGAAAGUAAGAAUAAACUUAAAAAACAAACAAACAAAAAAUCAAACCAAAUCAAAACAAAAAAACCUUGAAAACCACAAUGUUAUGAGUUCACAUAUUUUGCCCAGUAAUUCCAACCCUUGUGAAGUAUCUGAGAAAAAUAUGACUAUGUAUACAAAGAAAGUUUUAUGGAAAGAAACAAAAAAUGAACUUCUGCAAGAGAAUUCAGGGUUGGUAGAGAGCUGGCCUUGAAUGCAUGAGGCCCAGUUACCAGUUUGGAGAGUGGAAGGAAGGUGGCAUUGUGUGAUGAGGGGAAGCCUUGUGCUGGAACCAUUUGCAAAGGGCUUCCUGGCUGUUUUGUAGGCGUGUGCAUAUGGGGUUGGAGGGAUGGCUGUGUAGCGGGAAGACCAAUGCCAUCUGUCUUUCCAUAGCCUGUACUCCUGGACAGCAGUAGCAUUCUAGCUGACAGAAUUCUGCUGAUGGAUACUUUCUUCCAAAUUGUCAUUUACCUUGGUGAGGUAAGGGUGUCAUCCGUUUCUUUUUUUCCUGUUGUUUACUUCAAUUUAUUGUGUGUGGAUGUUUGUGAAUCUCUAUGACUAUGGUACAGCUUGGUUGAGUCAUCUCUAUCUUUCCACCAUCUUCGUCCUGGGGCAGUUACAUUCCAGUGGGAAUGUGGUCAGAGGACACCUUGUAAGCCGGCUGCUUUCUCCACUCACCACUGAGUCCUGGGGUCAAACUUCAGUCACCAGGCUUGGUGCCUAGAGGCCAGUCUUUAGGUGAAUUAGUCAGGUGGACAGUUAACACCAGCUGUCAUAGACUUUUUUCACCUGCUUUGGAUGGUGCUCGUGGAAAAAUGUCUCAAGUGUUAGUGAAGUCUGCUAUCAGUGCCCAGCAGCAGUUUUGGUUGGUUUGUUUUGGUGUAGACCAUAGCCCAGUGGCGGAAGGCUGGAUACCAGGACAUGCCCGAGUAUGAAAACUUCAAGCACCUUCUUCAGGCGCCCCUGGAUGAUGCCCAAGAAAUUCUGCAAGCACGCUUCCCAAUGCCACGUUAUAUCAACACAGAGCAUGGCGGCAGUCAGGUGGGUGAGCUCUGUCCCAGCUCUAGUGGAUUUUUUUGUUGUUAUUUCAUGACCCAUUUUAUAGCUAUCAAUGUAAACAGGCUGGUUACAGUUGUAUGUGGUGGGAUAAAGUUCCAUGCAGUUGGUCUCUCAGCUAUGAGUUUUGUUUUGUUUCAACUGUGUAUUUCACUUCCAGGCUGGCCUGAGGCUCACUAUGUGGUAGUUGCAGGUUGGUCUCGGACUUGUGAUUCCCAUACCUCUACCGCCGACAUGUGCCUCACCAUGCCUAGUGGUGACUUGUUAAAUGAAUGUACUAAUGCAGAAGUAGAAGAUUAUUAGUAUUUUUAGAUCAUUUGUAGGUGGCGAGCCUGGGCUUAAGAUAAAAGCAGUAGGAUUUCU